This 253-nucleotide ribosomal RNA is filed under the name uncultured bacterium. RNAcentral describes it as "partial 16S ribosomal RNA". It matches the Rfam family "Bacterial small subunit ribosomal RNA", at positions 524 to 776 of the family's 1533-position model. The record is from RNAcentral.
UACGUAGGGGGCAAGCGUUGUCCGGAAUUAUUGGGCGUAAAGAGCGCGUAGGCGGUCCGAUAAGUCGGCUGUGAAAACUCGGGGCUUAACCCCGAGCCUGCAGUGGAUACGGGCAGACUAGAGGUAGGUAGGGGAGAAUGGAAUUCCCGGUGUAGCGGUGAAAUGCGCAGAUAUCAGGAAGAACACCCGUGGCGAAGGCGGCUCUCUGGGACGGUACUGACGCUGAGACGCGAAAGCGUGGGGAGCGAACAGG